GCUUAACACAUGCAAGUCGAGGGGCAGCAUGGUCUUAGCUUGCUAAGGCCGAUGGCGACCGGCGCACGGGUGAGUAACACGUAUCCAACCUGCCGUCUACUCUUGGACAGCCUUCUGAAAGGAAGAUUAAUACAAGAUGGCAUCAUGAGUCCGCAUGUUCACAUGAUUAAAGGUAUUCCGGUAGACGAUGGGGAUGCGUUCCAUUAGAUAGUAGGCGGGGUAACGGCCCACCUAGUCUUCGAUGGAUAGGGGUUCUGAGAGGAAGGUCCCCCACAUUGGAACUGAGACACGGUCCAAACUCCUACGGGAGGCAGCAGUGAGGAAUAUUGGUCAAUGGGCGAGAGCCUGAACCAGCCAAGUAGCGUGAAGGAUGACUGCCCUAUGGGUUGUAAACUUCUUUUAUAAAGGAAUAAAGUCGGGUAUGCAUACCCGUUUGCAUGUACUUUAUGAAUAAGGAUCGGCUAACUCCGUGCCAGCAGCCGCGGUAAUACGGAGGAUCCGAGCGUUAUCCGGAUUUAUUGGGUUUAAAGGGAGCGUAGAUGGAUGUUUAAGUCAGUUGUGAAAGUUUGCGGCUCAACCGUAAAAUUGCAGUUGAUACUGGAUAUCUUGAGUGCAGUUGAGGCAGGCGGAAUUCGUGGUGUAGCGGUGAAAUGCUUAGAUAUCACGAAGAACUCCGAUUGCGAAGGCAGCCUGCUAAGCUGCAACUGACAUUGAGGCUCGAAAGUGUGGGUAUCAAACAGGAUUAGAUACCCUGGUAGUCCACACGGUAAACGAUGAAUACUCGCUGUUUGCGAUAUACAGCAAGCGGCCAAGCGAAAGCGUUAAGUAUUCCACCUGGGGAGUACGCCGGCAACGGUGAAACUCAAAGGAAUUGACGGGGGCCCGCACAAGCGGAGGAACAUGUGGUUUAAUUCGAUGAUACGCGAGGAACCUUACCCGGGCUUAAAUUGCAGAUGAAUUACGGUGAAAGCCGUAAGCCGCGAGGCAUCUGUGAAGGUGCUGCAUGGUUGUCGUCAGCUCGUGCCGUGAGGUGUCGGCUUAAGUGCCAUAACGAGCGCAACCCUUGUUGUCAGUUACUAACAGGUUCCGCUGAGGACUCUGACAAGACUGCCAUCGUAAGAUGUGAGGAAGGUGGGGAUGACGUCAAAUCAGCACGGCCCUUACGUCCGGGGCUACACACGUGUUACAAUGGGGGGGUACAGAGGGCCGCUACCACGCGAGUGGAUGCCAAUCCCAAAAACCUCUCUCAGUUCGGACUGGAGUCUGCAACCCGACUCCACGAAGCUGGAUUCGCUAGUAAUCGCGCAUCAGCCACGGCGCGGUGAAUACGUUCCCGGGCCUUGUACACACCGCCCGUCAAGCCAUGGGAGCCGGGGGUACCUGAAGUGCGUAACCGCGAGGAGCGCCCUAGGGUAAAACUGGUGACUGGGGCUAAGUCAUAA
Molecule: ribosomal RNA, 1442 nt
Filed under: uncultured organism
Description: SSU rRNA
Rfam family: Bacterial small subunit ribosomal RNA
Source: RNAcentral